UGCCACGUACUGCUCUUUUCUCUCCGAAACUGUGAAAUUCUCCGUGAAGUCCAAAUUUGAAACAUCAGGAAUGAUGCUCACUAUAGCGCUGUGUGGUGCAGAAACAACGGUUUGUUGUUGCUGUGUUGUAUGUUCUGGAACAGGUUCUCUUCAACGUCACGAGUCUAUCAAAAGUUGUCGCCUUUGGCAUUUGCUUUUUACCUACUAGUAUGUACCAGCCUACAAGUACUUGCAAGCAGUAGAAGCGAUUGCUAUGUAGACCGAGCCAGCGGUCAGCGGUUGGUGUUCGCUAUUCAGGACUUGGCUGCGGAAAAAGAUUUGGUUGGAAGGAGCUACUGGUAGCUAAAAUGUACAUGCAAGCGAAGCGUCAGCAUGUCGGGAACAAAGGUACGAUAGUCGCUAGACCGGCUAUGUAAAGUUAGCAGUUAUGUCCUGUACUACAACUAAGUAUAGCAACGAAGUCAAGACGCUUGCAACGAGCUUGAAACGGCAACGUCGUUACACGUAGCAGGUCAACACAGUAUGUCUUUGGAAGACGAAGUUCAACUUCGGCCAAGAAGUCCAGCAGCCACCAAGCGAACUGGCAUGGCUAGCAGUGGCCUCUGACAUAACGUCGAAAGUUCGGUCUUCGGACCUGUCCAUCGUGUCACAUCGUUUGUGACUUCUGUGGCUAUCCGUACACCGACCGACCUGCAGUGCAGACUGGAUAUGAGUGCGUUUGCAUACCAUGCCUUCGUUAUUAUUAUCAUUUUUUUGUAAACUGUCACCAAUAUCGAGACGGACACAAGGCUUGCGAUCGACAGAAUAUGGACAAGUGCAAGACGUACUGUUCUCACGCUAUCCAUUAGCCGACUGCGGCGUGCAGACCCUCGUCCGGAGUCAUUGCUGUUCGUUCAGGAGUCACUCAGUGGCACGGCAGAGAAAGCCACGAGCGAUGCGGAUGGCGUAGCAAAUCUGCUGAAUGAGGCAGUAAGAAACCCCGUCCAGCAAUUAAGCCAAAGCCAGUGGUGGCUGGUUCUCGUCCUGCACACCUACGACAGCAAAUAUCCAAACUUGGAGAAGAGGUAGUGUAACCACCGUCGUCUUUUGAAAAGGACCCAAUACCAGGAUCAAUGGUACGUACUCUACUUUGCCGAGCACCCGGUCCGACAGGAAGACGCUUGCCAACUUGGCGUGGCACUGCUGCCAAGUCAGACUAUCGCUUUGUCAUGUAAUGUAUCAGAGAGGCUGGAACACUGAAACCGUCAAGUUGGAGGAGCUUUGAGAACUGCAAUAGAGUAUACCGAAAUUAUCAGUAAGUUGGUGAAAUCAAGGACUAGCUGUGCACUCCACUGGUCUGGCAUGGUGCUGUUGCUGCUACAGUGUAGUAGUGGCGUACUGCACUGCGGUGGUUAGGCUAACAGGGUGAUCCUGCUAGUUGUGUACUGCACUGCGCUGGUUAGGCUAACGUGGAGAUCCUGCUCAAGACCGGUGCGCUCUUGCUAGCCUCCAUGUUGCUGUUGUUCCCGGUCUGGGAAUCAGCUAACAGUUAUCAGCUAUGCGUGGUGAUCAUGCGUAUCAGCACGGAGUUGUGUGACAAAAGCAGUGGCAUUGUCAGCAGUGUGGUACUUGUCCACUGGUUUAUUUGAGUGCAGACGGUGUGUGUGGUACUUACAUGUGCCGGAUCAUGGACUAUCAGUAACACAUCCAGCACCUUGGACAAUCAGUUUGUUGUUGGUCAGUUGGUUUGUCAUUGUCUAUACCGCCAGUCAUUAUGAAGACUGCUUGCUUUGUUUGCCGUCACUGUGCAAUUCACUGUGCACCUUACAGUUCUGCAUCUUCUACUUACAUUAGAUACAUGUAGGUGCUUGUGUGUCAUAUCUACUAGAUGUUCUGAUUUUGUCAAGUGAUUCUUGCCCCCCCCCCCCACCCCCCUCCACCCCCUUUUGCUUUCAGAAUAUUAUUAAUUUUUACAAACAAAAACUGCUGCCCCGUAGGUAGUAUGUGCUGCAACAGUACGUCUAUUAUAUUACGAUUUAGAAAGUCUUGAAUUAUCGUUUCAUAGCCCCAUUCCUGAAGAUCGUUGAAUGACAUUGUGGAAUUACUCCCCUUUUUUAAUCAAUUUCCUUCUCAGAGUGACUCUGAUUACUGCAUUUUGGUGAAUGGUGUGCAUAUCAAUAUUAUGCUGUUUGCAUAGUGCACGGUUAUUCCAUCACACCCUACAUGAUAGAUGUAUGGACUGGCAAUAGCCAUAGCAGCGUGCACUAAUGUGCCUGCUGCUGCACCCUAGCAUCCUGCACACUGUGGUACCACUCAAGACCGUGAAUGUCAUUCUGCUAUUAAUUCCAGUGGUACGCAGCUGCACUCAGUCUUUCACUUACUUCUCAUUGUUAUGUAGACCGCCCUUUCCCUAGUUAUGCUUUGAUCUCCUUUCAAGUCAAUCAUUAUAUUUAUAA
Long non-coding RNA from Sycon ciliatum, 2435 nucleotides. RefSeq lists it as uncharacterized. The record is from RefSeq and is a predicted model, not a curated record. The transcript is spliced from 3 exons. Lineage: Eukaryota; Metazoa; Porifera; Calcarea; Leucosolenida; Sycettidae.